GGCGGAGACGAGGCCGCGGGGACCGCAGCGCCGGGCGACCACACCCUCGGUUUGGGGGACAAGCCUGCCUUUUGCGCACUUGGACUUUUCCCCACCCUCUUCUAAGUCUUAGUGCCUCCGUACCAGGUGACCGAAUAAACAACUGUGGUAGCUCUGUACAAUGGAGCGCUAUUCAGCACUGGAAAGAAAUGAAUUAUCAGAAAAGACAUGGAGGAUCCUAAAUGCACUUUGCUGAGUGGAAGAAGUCUGAAAACGCCAAAUACUGCAUGACUGCAACUCUGACAUUCUGAAAAGGACAAACCUAGUGGAGACAGUGGUUUCCAGGCUCAAGGAGAGGGAGUGAUGGAAGGCCGAACACAGAGGAUUUUUAGGGUCGUGAAACUAAUGAUGAAUACAUGUCAUUACGCAUUUGUCCAAACCCGUGGAAGGAACAACCCCAAGAGUGAGCCCUCAGAUAAAGAUUUGCCUGAGAUUCCCAAGCAUCUCAAUGCCGGUACCCACAGUUCCUACUCACAUUUGUCCAACGAAUGUGAAGAAAACAGCAACCAAAUGACAGCCACAGAAUUGCAUCAAAAUGCAUUUAAGGAGCAUCAGUGCGUUACCCCGGUUUCACGGGAGCCGGUGUUAUUCCAAGGGAAGCGAUGAAUCACGCAAGCCGUGUGGUACCUUUUCUUUGCAUCAUGCUGGGGAGCUGGCCUGUCUCCUCAUUCGUGACUUGAGGCUCCUCAGACACGAACUCUACUUGCCGGCGGAGAUGACUUGGCAUCCGUGGAUGUGAUCAAAAGAAGCCGCUCCUAGGUUCUUACAUGCUGUGUAACAUCUAAGAGACGCGCCACGGAAGUAGUUGGAAGCCGCUGAGGGCCCAGCCCGCACGCCCACCAGGCUGCCAGCCUAUUACUGAGCUGUCAGUUGUUGCAGACACAUGGAACCUGGCAUCUCUGAUUGGAAACCCUUGAAAACACAUUCCUCUGGGUGGUAAAGUCCGAUCAAGGCCUAGACGAGAGGUGUUUUGUGUUUUGUUUAAACAAGAGGACCUCGGACACAGGCGAAUGAUGAAACGGUCUGCUCGCUGGUAGCAAGAAUAUCGUUUACCGUGAAACUCGGUGUCAGGUCUGACAUGCUUUGCAUAUCUUUGGGGUUAAUCAUUCCUGAGAUGAAUUCCACACUUGUUCCUCUGCAUCGCAGCAAAAAGGCUUUGCUUUUUGUUCUGAGGGACAGGAGGUGCCAUGGCUCUGCCAGCCUCCUCCUGCCUGGACAUAACUCCAUGCCCCGUGGGGACGUCCCUGGGGGCGGCACGAAGCUCAUGUGUCCUGUGCUGGGGGCACAGCCACCCCCAGAAUGAACCCCCAUGUCAGAGCGAGAUUUGGGUCAAUGACCCACCAGCCCCACCGGCAGCCCCCUCUAAGUCACUGCGCUUUCAAGAAACGGUUGGAGGAUCCCAGAGUCAGACUCCCUCCCAGACCAAGCAGCCGUGGGGCUGAUGGCCUGUGCUCGGCCCAGGGGCCAGGGAGGUGCGACAGCCACUGCCCGCGUGUCCCCCCCUGUGCCGGGGUGGGGCGGGGAGCCCCCACAGCGGGGACACAGACAAACACGACCAAUGAGGUCCAGGGCACUGCCAGGUCCCUCGUCACGUCUUCCCACCCUCACACUGGCCUGUGUGAAAUGAGAGCCGACUGACCCAUCCAGUGCGUUAUUUCUUUUUUGUUUUUCUUUUUAGGGCGGCAUCUGCGGAGGUUCCCAGGCUAGGGGUCGAAUUGGAGCUACAGCUGCUGGCCUACACCACAGCCACAGCAACACCAGAUCCGAGCCGCGUCUGUGAUCUGUGCCUCGGCUUGUGGCAACACCAGAUCCUUAACCCACUGAGCAAGGCCAGGGAUGGAACCCGCAUCCUCAUGGACACUAUGUCAGGUUCUUAACCCACUGGGCCACAGCGGGAACGGCCCCAGUGCAUUAUUUCUAAUGAUUUGGUUCCUGCCUGCAAGGGGUCUGUCUGGCAGGUGAAACACAUUCAUGCGAAAAGAUGACUCCUACAGCCGACCUCUCAGGAGUGACCUCUGUGCGUUGCCUGAUCGCCCUGUGCCUCGGUGUUCUCAUCUGUAACAUGGGGGUUAAGACUACCUUGCAGAAGAGAUAGGAAGUCAAAGUACUGUCUGCAAAGCAUCUAGCACGGACCAAGUCUGACCACACGUGCUUAAAAAAUGGCGAUUAUUAUUAUUGUUAUUGUUUAACUAAGAAAGAAACAGGAGAUUAGGAUUUGGAAUAAGCGAGGCUGGGGUGGUGGCUGCUGUCUAGAGACUGCUAAAUAGGCACAGGAUCAGCGCCGGGCACUGGUGGAGGCCCACGUGGCAGUAGAACCGGGAAAGGGCAGCUUCCGGGCUCUCGUGCCAGCUCUGCACUUGGCUUCAGGCUUCUCUCAGAGCGUCAUCUAUCGAAGACCAGGACAGGAGCAGGUGUCACCCACGCCCUCUCAGCUGGCUCCACACCAGGGCCUCAGGAGCCCCCACAGCAACACGCGGAGCUCAUGAUGAAGCCUCACCCACAGAAGCAGGAAGGACUCACGCGAGUGUUGGAAGCCGUGCUGAACUGGCGUCUCCACUGUGGUAACUGGCUCAGCCUGGACUCUCUGAGUGGCCACAGAGGAGAGGAGAGCUGAGCUGGUGCUUCCUUGCGGGAGGUAUAAAGUAUUAUUUCAUGCGUGUAUUUGAAGGACUAUUAUUAUUAUUAUUACUGUCUUUUUAGGGCCACACCCACAACAUAUGGAAGUUCCCAGGCUAGGGGUUGACGGGGAGCUGCGGCAGCUGGCCUAUAUCACAGCCACAGCAAUGCAGGAUCCGAGCUGUGUCUGUGACCUACACCGAAGCUCAUGGCAACGCUGGAUCCUUAACCCACUGAGCGAGGCCAGGGAUCGAACCCACAUCCUCAUGGAUACUAGUCAGGUUUGUUAAGUGCUGAGCCACAGUGAGAACUCCUAGAAGGAUUAUUUUAAUGAUUUAAUUGAAUUCUAUCCCUCUCUCACCAUGGAAAUGCAAAGUAUAAAAGGAAAACCUUUGGAUUUUGUGCACACCAGGACCGAACAGGGGGGAGUGGGCAGUUUUCUAUCAAAAGGUUUCUGCAGACAGUUUCACCCGUAGCUACCACUGGAUGUGGGUCAUUGCAUCGGUCAGCCUUCUUAGGUGUAAGCAACAGAAACCAAGUUUGCUAUUGUAAGCAAAAUGGAAUUGAUUAAAAAGGUAUUGGGACGAGUUCCCUGGUGGCCUAGUGGUUAAAGAGCUAGAAGUGCUACUGCUGUGGCUCAGAGCACUGCUGUGGCGCAGGUUGGAUGCCAGGCCUGGAAACCUCUGUAUGCCACAGGCGUGCCCCCCUGCCGCCCCCAAAGGGUAUUGAGAUGCUCAAAAAACUCUCUAAGAAGGAUGAAGAUCCAGGCUUGGAAGCUAUGCAGCCAGGAACAGCCUUCUCCACCCACAUCAAGAAGUGCUGCUGCUGGGAGUGUGUGCAGGGGAGAUAGAUUAGGAAUUCGGGGUUAACAUUUACACACUACUGAAUAUAAAAUAGAUAAACAACAAGGACCUACUGCCUAGCGCAGGGACCUCUAUAUCCUAUAAUAACCUAUAAUGGAAAAGAAUCUGAAAAAAA
Molecule: long non-coding RNA, 3633 nt
Filed under: Sus scrofa (pig)
Lineage: Eukaryota; Metazoa; Chordata; Mammalia; Artiodactyla; Suidae
Description: lncRNA (ENSSSCG00005031318.1)
Source: RNAcentral